CUCCGGGUGGUCUAGUUGGUUCAUGGCGUUCGACUGUAAAUCGAAAAGUCAGCGGUUCGAUUCCGCUUCUGGAGA
This 75-nucleotide transfer RNA is filed under the name Trichoderma hamatum GD12. RNAcentral describes it as "tRNA-Tyr (GTA) (tRNA-Tyr-GTA-3-1)". It matches the Rfam family "tRNA". Rfam says of the family: Transfer RNA (tRNA) molecules are approximately 80 nucleotides in length. Their secondary structure includes four short double-helical elements and three loops (D, anti-codon, and T loops). Lineage: Eukaryota; Fungi; Ascomycota; Sordariomycetes; Hypocreales; Hypocreaceae. The record is from RNAcentral.